UAUUGCCAGCCACUGACCAAAUUUCAUGCAUGCGCAUGGACAAUCUUUCUUCAGCUUUGCAGGCGCGCGCUCUGUCUAGCAAAGGAAACACACUGAUUGUGUGCAACCACGAACAAGAAAAAAGAAAGAUAAGGGUCCAGCUUGUUGAAACAAGGAAAUGUCCAUGUCAAACAUAGUCACUUCACUUGCUUUUCUACUCUUAGGAUUUUUUCUGUCCCUUUGUGACUAGCUCUAUGAUCAGUAGAGAAGACAUAGCACAAUAAGUAUGUUCUUUGGACAUAUCCAUUUAUAUUUCGAAGUCCAUUCAUGCUCUUGACUUCAUCAGAACUCCACAAGUAAAUGAUCUUUCCAUUAGUGCAAAAUACUAUAUAUACUCCUAAGAUUUUACUUCAAAACCAAUAUUUUGGAUCUUCCUUUGUAACUUGCACCCCAAUAUUUUCCACAUCUUCUUGCUUAAUCCACAGUAGUGUUAGUAUUUCUUCUUUCGUGCUUUCACAUACUGCUGCUGCUGCUUCCUGCAGCUCUCAACCUGUCAAAUUAUGAGACCAUAUUCAUGCACGUUUAAGUGGUACCGAUUUUAUGCAAAAAUCCAGCUGAUUGGAUUUUUUGAGUGCCUUCCACGCUUAAAAAGGGAGCAUAUAUAAUUCACAUACGUGCAUUUGCCAAACUUCUCAGCAAAGCAUGAACUUAUCAUGAAUUUAUGAUAUCAUGAUAUAUAUUGUAAAAAUGCAUGCUUUCAUCAUGCUAUAUCAUAGAUUUGUAUAGCUGAAAUUCCAAGAUAAGGUGGUCGGUCCAAUAAUGUAUUUCUUCAUCUAAGGCCAGGGCCUUCGGCUUAAUUAAUGCUACUCAUAUCCUGCCAAUAUAUAAUUAAGAAGGUGAUGUCUCGAGCUUGAGUGAUCUUAUACGAAAAUACUACCUCGCACAAAUGCGGCAAGAAGAACAGAAAGGCUUCAUUCUAAUAUUUCAAAGUUGAAAUUACAGGCAGAUUUGAUAUCGAUAAUCUCAUAGAUUCCAUAAACAGCACGUACAUGGCCGCUAGACCAUAGGCUACACAAUAUUAAACCUUUACGUACUUGCUUGAAGUACUCCCUUUACUCACACCAACUCUCAGCUCCCACAAUCCACUUAAGAAACAUUUCAUCUUACAAGAAAUUAAACAUAAUGGUUUUCGAUAGUCUAGUUUUGUUGUAUUAACUUAAUUUAUAUAUGUGCUAUAGCUAGGACAACAACAGUUAAAGCUACAUAUGUUGUUUUAUGUUUUAUUAUGUACAGGAACUUAAUUAAAAUCAUAAUAAUUUCCCUUGGCUUUCAAACUGAAACAUCCUAUGAUCAGUUUAUGCCAUGAAUCAUAGAUUUUGGCUGGAUAUAAUCACUUCCAUAGAUCAAUUUGACAACUGGAGGUUGACGUCGAGGCGUUUUCCUGCACGGAUGCUUCUUGCUUAUUCAAGUGUGUAACAAGUAUGUUUGCUGCCUCGACUGAUGAUGCGUUGAAAAUGUUGUUGCUAGCAUUUGGGUGGUAAGUUUCCUUGAUCACAUCUUCGUGGCUCAAUUGAGAAGCAACAAAUUUGUCAAGCACUCUCCAGUCUGUGACUUGAUCAACUGCUUGCUCAUGAUUGCUGCUGUUGUUACCAUAGAUGGUGGGAAAUCUUUUCUCAUGUGUUUGUUGAACGUGAUCUUCUUGUGUGAGUGUUGAGGAUUGAAAAGUGCUUGUCUGGUUUAUGUCUAGGCCGUAUGCAGCAUUGAUGGAAUUGCAACUUAAUGUAGGAGCCGAUUGCAGAAGUUUAGGACUUUGUAGAAGUGGGAGCUGGAGGAAGUGAUCAUGAGGGAUUUGGUACUGAAAAUCCAGCUCUUUCUUGCAGGAGUAAGGGAAUUGAUAACCUAAGUCAGGCUGGAAGUUUUGCUUUGGUGAAUCCAAGUCAUGCAUGAAUGCAACUUGAUCAUCAUACCAGCAAACUGAUUCAUGCUCACUCACUUUUGUCAUCGUUGGAAUUCUCUUCUUGAACACCCUACACACAACCCAACCUUCUUCCUGCAACAAAAUUACAUGUAAAAAAAAACUUUCACACUCGAAAAAAAUUGUGCAGCUAUGGUUAAGACUUAAAAAUUAAUGGCUUACAAGAAAACACUAAAUGAAGAAA
This is a long non-coding RNA of Populus nigra (black poplar), 2138 nucleotides long. RefSeq lists it as uncharacterized. NCBI's taxonomy places the organism in Eukaryota, Viridiplantae, Streptophyta, Magnoliopsida, Malpighiales, Salicaceae. The transcript is spliced from 2 exons. The record is from RefSeq and is a predicted model, not a curated record.